UACGUAGGGUGCGAGCGUUGUCCGGAAUUAUUGGGCGUAAAGAGCUUGUAGGCGGUUUGUCGCGUCUGCUGUGAAAACUCGGGGCUUAACUCCGGGCCUGCAGUGGGUACGGGCUGACUAGAGUGCGGUAGGGGAGACUGGAAUUCCUGGUGUAGCGGUGAAAUGCGCAGAUAUCAGGAGGAACACCGGUGGCGAAGGCGGGUCUCUGGGCCGUAACUGACGCUGAGGAGCGAAAGCGUGGGGAGCGAACAGG
This 253-nucleotide ribosomal RNA is filed under the name uncultured bacterium. RNAcentral describes it as "partial 16S ribosomal RNA". It matches the Rfam family "Bacterial small subunit ribosomal RNA", at positions 524 to 776 of the family's 1533-position model. The record is from RNAcentral.